This is a long non-coding RNA of Erigeron canadensis, 704 nucleotides long. RefSeq lists it as uncharacterized. Lineage: Eukaryota; Viridiplantae; Streptophyta; Magnoliopsida; Asterales; Asteraceae. The transcript is spliced from 2 exons. The record is from RefSeq and is a predicted model, not a curated record.
UCAAACGGGGCGUUGAUCAAAAUUAAUUAGACGGAAAGCAACAAGUCAAAAACUUAACCGGAAACAAAACGAAAACGAAUACCAACCCCAAAACAUUUGGCCAGAAAACAAAACGAAAACGGACGUACGAACCCAAAACUUCACUAGAAACCCAAACCAAAACCCAAAAUCCAUCACAGGGAACUCAAACCAACAUCCAAAACCCAAUUCCGGAAACCAAACCGAACCCCAAAACCCGAUCGAAAGAGUGGCGGAAAAAAUGAAAACCCUAAAAUAAUAACAUAACAUUAACAUUUGAGUUAAUAUUGCCAUUUGAGCUUUGACUGGAAAGAGUUUCACCAUUUGAGUAUCGUUAGUUGGUGAUUGUACGUUGUUUGCUUCAAAUACAAUAGAUUUGAGGAAAAAUGGACCUUGGGUGUUACUUGAAGAUGCAGGAAGGACUGAUGCUGUCAAGAUUGUAAAGUAUCAAGUGAAAGGACCAAACAACGGUGACUAAUUCUAGAGGGACCAAAGAUGUAAAUGUUCUUAGGGUUCGAGUAUAAAACCUAACCAAUGGCCACUGUAGCAAAAUACCACGACUGCAGCCUUCCUCUUUUCUUAUCGUUUGGAAAACCCCUUAUUAUUUUCGAUGUAAUUUUUUUAAUAUUUGUUCUUGUUUUUUGAUACAAAAACUGAGAUUCAAUCUAUGACUAAUAUGUUCUAUA